Molecule: regulatory RNA element, 30 nt
Organism: Polaribacter irgensii 23-P
Lineage: Bacteria; Pseudomonadati; Bacteroidota; Flavobacteriia; Flavobacteriales; Flavobacteriaceae
Rfam family: L19-Flavobacteria ribosomal protein leader
Source: Rfam
UAACCUCUGACGAAAAUAUCGUGAACGUUG